ACAGAGGUGGCAAGCGUUGUUCGGAAUCACUGGGCUUAAAGGGUGUGUAGGCGGUUAGGUAAGCAUUCUGUGAAAGCCCUGGGCUCAACCCAGGAACCGCAGGAUGUACUGCCCGACUUGAGGCGAGUAGAGGUCACUGGAACUCUGGGUGGAGCGGUGAAAUGCGUAGAUAUCCAGGGGAACGCCAAUGGCGAAGGCAGGUGACUGGGCUCGUCCUGACGCUGAGGCACGAAAGCGUGGGAAGUGAACGG
This 251-nucleotide ribosomal RNA is filed under the name uncultured prokaryote. RNAcentral's name for it is "partial 16S rRNA". It matches the Rfam family "Bacterial small subunit ribosomal RNA", at positions 525 to 775 of the family's 1533-position model. The record is from RNAcentral.